CAGGCUUCGGUUAGAACAGCCCUAACAGUCACGAGCAAAGGCUCUGCCAGGUGGAGGAAGGAUGGUCCAGUGAUCAGGGCACUAACACUGCACUUGUGGGCUAAAUGGUUCACUCUCCCCUUCCUGUGGGAUGCAGCACAGGAAGCUGCAGGAAUCCCACCCAGCUGCAGCUCACAGGAGCAUACCUAGGGACAAACACAAGCACAGUGUGAGAACAAGGGUUUGGCAGUGCAUUUGUCUGUCCAAACCUUCACAAGUCACAGACAGCCAGUUUGGAGCCUCCUGGUCCUCCUAAGAAGGACCAGGCCUUCCAGCAGCCACAGCUUUAGCUUUGUGUCCUGGAAAAGAUGGAAGAGAAGAAAGACACCCCUCCUUCCUUUCCCUGCUCUGCCUGAGCCCACCUGAAUUUCCUCCAUUUCCAUUCAUUCCUGUGAGGUCAGCAUAGUACACUGAGGAGAGACAUGGAGGUGCUGCCAGUCAGGAACCUUCCAGUGAUGGCAGAGGAAAGCUGCCAGGGAUGAGGGGACCAGGGGGACCCUCUCCUGCUUGUGGCCAUGGUUAGCUCCAGACUGAGCACCCUGACAGCUCAGCAGUGAUGCUGGGUCAGACCAGACCACUUCCCAAACCACUACUGGUGAUUUCAACUGCAGAGAAACAUUUUAGGUGGUUCAGAAGCUGCAGGGUGGAGAAGAGGUGGUGCUUUACAUUGCAUUUACAGUGAGCAAAGUCUAAAGAUCCUCAACACAGGGCAGCCCCGCAACAGGAGUUUUGCUUUAAAUAUAGGCAAGGAAAUCGAGUUUUAAGUGCUCGGCCUGAGGUUCCAAUCUCCUGACCUGAACGGUACCGUAACCCAUUGUGAACAGCAGCAUUGCCUUUUGCUUCCUGGAGAUCAUUAGCUAGCAGGGAAAAGUGUCCUGUGGGAGGCUAAAAUCCAGCCCAUGGCCAAUUAAGGCCAAACCUCCUUCUCUCCACAGCAUUGUUCCUAUCGACUGAAGUUUGGCAGUAAAUGGAUCAGAGCAGUGGACUGCUUUCUGUUUCUCUUGUACUCAGAUGAUGUCAACCUGAAAAUGUCCUCAGCAGCUCCCCAGUUCCAUCUGUAUAGAAAGACAGUAACAAAGAUGAUCAUGAAAUCCAGCUUGGGAAGACCUGCUUUGCCAAAUGGCUUUCCAGCCUGUUUAUCCUACUCUAUCCUAAUGUCAGCUGCUCACAAGCCAGGGCAGCACCACCUAUUCAGGAGCUGCCUGCCUAUGAAGUUACUUAGCUGCUUCAACGUGUGGUCCAAGAGACUCAUUUUUCCUAAAGCACUGCACUCCCAAUGCAAACCUAGCCAUCACUUUGUUCCCAUUUUCCCUAGGCAAAAUCAAUAGCUUUGAACCCAAAACUGUGCCCAGCUGGACUCUGAGCUGGUGCCUGGCAGCACACCUCACCAUCAGGCUGCUGAUUCCCACUUCCUUAAGGAACCACAUUCCUAGAAACAAACACCUACUGAGUCAAACAGCAGCACAGGAGACACGGGGAGG
RNAcentral lists this long non-coding RNA (1520 nucleotides) under Taeniopygia guttata (zebra finch). Its description in RNAcentral is "lncRNA (ENSTGUG00000023620.1)". Lineage: Eukaryota; Metazoa; Chordata; Aves; Passeriformes; Estrildidae. The record is from RNAcentral.